Small nucleolar RNA from Ictalurus furcatus (blue catfish), 64 nucleotides. RefSeq annotates it as small nucleolar RNA SNORD82. Lineage: Eukaryota; Metazoa; Chordata; Actinopteri; Siluriformes; Ictaluridae. The record is from RefSeq and is a predicted model, not a curated record. The transcript has a single exon.
UGCACAGAUGAUGUCUCAAGGGAUUUAAUACUGACUCUUGAUGAUUUUUAUUGAGCUGAUGUGC